AUAAAAACCCUGUUUCAAUUGAAAGGCGUUUAAUGCAUUAGAAACUCUAGAGGACUUGAUAUUAUGGGCUACUUUUUUUCUUUUGUGAUCUUUAUUGGGAUUGCAUUGCUAGCACUUGCGAUGCCGCGACCUCCCGCUAAAGAUUGUCCAGGAGGAUGCUGGGGCUGGAAACCAAGUUAAUUAUUAUCAGAAGAAUCUACAUUUGCAUGUUUAGAGGUCAUUGGUGAACAUAUUAAGAUUCAAUGUACUGGGUAAACACUUACCAAUAAAGGACAGAACUGGGCUAAUGUGAUUAAUAAAAUAUUUACUUGUAGGAA
Drosophila suzukii is the source of this 317-nucleotide non-coding RNA. Lineage: Eukaryota; Metazoa; Arthropoda; Insecta; Diptera; Drosophilidae. The record is from RefSeq and is a predicted model, not a curated record.